UUUACCAAAUCCACGAGAACAAAAUAACAAAGGCGACGACGAAAGAAGAAGAAAUUGGGACGGAGAGCGGAACCGCCGCCAUGUCUUUCGCCACUGUCUCUCCGGCUACCAUCGACAGCGACGCUCCUCUCUGCUCCUCCGUCAUAUAUUGGUGCCACGAGUGCGACAUGAGCGUCACCCUCCUCCCCUCCCAAUCCCCACUCAUCUGUCCCGACUGCUCCCGCUCCGAUUUCCUCGAGGAAAUGGAGUCUACACCCACCCAUCUCCCCUCUUCCUCCUCGGCCCCUUCUCCCCCUCCCCAAUCCCUCACCGACUCCGACGAUGACGAUGACGACGACGACGCCGGAUCCGCCUCCGAUCCAGACGACCGCCACCGCCUUCCCUCCUCUCGUGCCGAUCGCGUUCGCCUCCUCAUCGGCCGACUCUCUGAAGGCAGCGGCGAUGGCGACGACUCUCUCCCUCUUUUCCCGCCUCCCGCUCCUGCUCGCUCCGGACCCUAUCCUGCCUCCGUCGCAUCAAUCGAAGCUCUCCCUAUCGUCUGCAUCUCCGGUGCUCAUGCGACCUCCUUUCCCUCUUGCGCGGUUUGUAAGGAAGAUUUCGUCCUCCACUCUUCCGCCCGUCGCCUCCCCUGCUCGCACCUCUACCACUCCGAUUGCAUCGUCCCUUGGCUUUCCCUUCACAAUUCCUGCCCCAUCUGCCGCGCGCCGCUCCCCUCUCAAUCUUCUGGUGGCGCCAUUUAUGGAGACGAUGACGCGCUUUCAGCGGCGCUCAGUGGGGCCGAUGAUGACACGACGGUGCUGACUGCUGCGCUGUGGCAAGUGAGGAGGCAGCACCGGCUUUCGUUUCCGGUUCAGCCUGCUGCAUCAGCAGCCAUGAACGCUGUCCUCUUUCAGAUGGAAGAGGUGGAUGAUGCGCUAGUUGAUAGUGUGGAGACGACGUCAUUGGAAGGGCGUGGAACAUCCAUAGGAAGUGGGACGGAUGGUGACAACACUAUCAUCUUGCCUGAGAUUAGGGAGAAUUGUCUUUAGCACGUAUCCUGACAGCGAUUAUUGUUGCAUAAAUCCUUGAGGAGGCCAUGGAGCUGCAUUAUCUUGAGCUUGGAAGCAAAAGAAAAUAGUGAAUCCGCGCAAGGACCCCAAUGUUCAAUCCACCUACGAUGAGAUCGAGUACCUUCCGAAUCCGACAUCUGAAACACAAGUACCGAUACAAUUACUUCUAAGUCUUCUUUACUUCAUCAACAAACAAGUACUGGAAACUUCAAUAUUUGGAAUAUGUACGCUCGUGUUGUAUCUUAAUGACGCAGAGGCCAAAGAAGAAGACGUUCGCAGUAAUUUCUGAUACAAUCAUUACUGUAAUCUGCCUAAUAAUGUUUUUUUUGCUAUUUAGUUAUUGAAUUCAUCCAAGUUGUAAACUCAUUUAUAAGCUUAUAUUCUCCCUGUAUGGUUGUGAA
RNA transcript from Zingiber officinale, 1450 nucleotides. It is a transcript of the gene named probable E3 ubiquitin-protein ligase RHC2A, with no coding region annotated. The transcript is spliced from 3 exons. The record is from RefSeq and is a predicted model, not a curated record. NCBI's taxonomy places the organism in Eukaryota, Viridiplantae, Streptophyta, Magnoliopsida, Zingiberales, Zingiberaceae.